CCUACGGGAGGCAGCAGUAGGGAAUAUUGCACAAUGGAGGCAACUCUGAUGCAGCGACGCCGCGUGAGUGAUGAAGGCCUUCGGGUCGUAAAGCUCUGUCGCAGGGGAAUAACACAAUGAAUGUACCCUGUAAGAAAGGAUCGGCUAACUUCGUGCCAGCAGCCGCGGUAAU
RNAcentral lists this ribosomal RNA (172 nucleotides) under uncultured bacterium. Its description in RNAcentral is "partial 16S ribosomal RNA". It matches the Rfam family "Bacterial small subunit ribosomal RNA", at positions 338 to 524 of the family's 1533-position model. The record is from RNAcentral.